CCCGAUUCUCCCCACCUCCCUAAGACUGUAAGAGCCAGAGCCAGCAAGUGAUUCUAAGGAAACAGCCUCUCCAGACACAACAGGCCUGAUAGACAUAGAAACCACAGAGACCGUGACAGCGUGAACAAGUCCAAACCAGACCAAGUCCUAGUACCGAGAAGGGGAGGUGGACACCAAAUCCUACCCUCUCCAAGAAGGAAUUUGCAAUUGAUUCCUGCUGGGAGAGGAACAACCAGUUUUCUUCAGUGGAGUGUCACUGGGUAUAUUGACCAGCGCAGGCUUCACAAUAUGUUUCUCUCUCUCUCUCUCUCUCUCUCUCUCUCUCUCUCUCUCUCUCUCUCUCUCUCUCUCCCUUGUCUGUCUUUCUCCUAGGAGCUGUAGAGUAAAGUAAUUUAUCCAGAAAGAAGGGGGCAUUGGGAGUUUUUACUCUUCUCGAAACUGCACUGUGGUAUGAAUAGACGUAGCAGCCAAUAGGCAUGGGAGGUGAGAUGGAUGAGCUGUUCGAGCCCACAAAAGCCAUUGUGGGUCAUGGGACUCAGUUGUCCUCAUGUGGCUUGUUGCUGUGGUGCGGAAUCUGAACACUUGCUCACCAGCAAGACAAUGGAGGAGGCAGUAGAACCAUUAAGAGAUCAGCCAGACAACUGCUCAGUAUCCCAGAGGGAUUUUCACACUUGCUAUAUGGGGAUAUAUAAAAGGACCAUCAUAAUAAUGUAACACUCAGCUGCCUCGGGACUUAGAAGAGCUGAAAAAGGACCCCAUGGGAGCAGAAGGAGCUGUGAGGUAAUUGUUGUUCUACAUAAGCCCAUUGAGGGAAGACUCAUGGUGAAGUCUAUCAAAGAGAUCAACACCUCACAUCCCUCCUGCCAUCCAACUCAUGCUACCGUCCUAUUGCUUCUGUUACAGAACGCAACCCACUUGGUGGCUUUAAACAGCUCAACUAUAAUGUCUUAUGAUCUAGAUUCAG
RNAcentral lists this long non-coding RNA (964 nucleotides) under Mus spicilegus (steppe mouse). Its description in RNAcentral is "lncRNA (ENSMSIG00000024208.1)". Lineage: Eukaryota; Metazoa; Chordata; Mammalia; Rodentia; Muridae. The record is from RNAcentral.